UAUAUUUCCUAGGUUGAUAUUUAGUAAAGGCCAAUUUGCAAAAAAAAUCCACUAGUUUUGAGUUUUUGUAAAACCGGACCACCUUUUUCGUUUUUACAGAUUCGAUCCACUUUUUUAAAAAAAUGACCAAACUACCCCACUUUCAAAAUACAUAAAAAGUACAUACAUUAAUUGUCUUGAAAAAUACAACUGACAAAUUAUUAUUACAGCUAUUUUUUUCUUGAAAAAUAAAAUUCUCAUUAACAUACAAAUAAAAAAUAUCUAAUAAUAAAAAUUAAAAAAAAGAAUGGAAUACACCUUAAAUGGUGCAACAUCGUUUCAAAUUGUGCAAUAUUUCUUCCAAAUAGUGUAAUAUUUGUGUGCAAUAUUUGCACAAUUUAUAUAAUAUUACAUAAUUUUUUAUACUAAAUUACGAAUAAUAUAGUAUAUUACGCGCAAAUAAUAUAACAUAUUACAAUAUACUAUAAAAAUUAUGCAUUAUAUGUAUAAACGGUGAAUAUUUUGCACUAUUUGUACAAAUAUUUACACCAUUGUAUAGAUGUUGCAUUAUUUUGAGAGAAUGUUGUACUAUUUAGAUAUUAUAUUACACUAUUUUUUUUCAAAAAUUAAAAUAUAUUGUAUAUUAAUAAAGUGUUAAAUUUUUUGAAAAUGACAACUGCUAAGUCAUAAUUACAUGUACAUUUCUCGAGAAACGAAAAUCCUCAUUUAAUUUAGAUAAAAUAAAAAAUAAAAUAUCAUUAAUAACAUGAAAGAGUGCAAUAUCCUCUUAAAGAGUGCAAAUAUAGUCUCAAAUAGUGCAACACUCUCUUCCAAAUAGUACAAUAUUUCUGUAAAUAGUGCAAUAUAUGCAUCGUUAAUACACAUAUUGCAUGAUUUUUAUACAAAAUUACGAAUAAUAUAAUAUAUUACGUGAAAAUAAUACGAAAAUAAUAUAACAUAUUACAAUAUACUGUAGAAAUCAUGCAUUAUAUGUAUAAACGGUGAAUAUUUUGCACUAUUUGUACAAAUAUUUACACAAUUUGCAUAGAUGUUGCACUAUUAUGAGUAAUGUUGCACCAUUUAGAUAUUAUGUUGCACUCUUUUUUUAAAAAAAUUAAAGUGUAUUGUAUAUUAAAUAAAGUGUUAAAUUUCUUGAAAAUGACAACUGCUAAGUUAUAAUUACAUGUACUUUUUUGGAAGAACGAGAUCCUCAUUUAAUUAAGAUAAAAUAAAAAAUAAAUUAUCAUUAAUAUAAUGAAAGAUUACAACAUUAAAAUAAAAAUAGUGUAACAUUCUCUCUAAUGUUGCACCAUUUAAGAAGAUGUUGCACUAUUUGAGAGAAUGUUGCACGCUUUCAUCUUAUUUAACAAUACUUUACUUUUUGUAUUUGUUCUUAAAUGAGCAUUUUCGUCUCUCGAGAAAGAUACAUACAAUUAUGACUUAGUAGUUGCUAUUUUCAAGAAAUUGCUGUAAGGACUGAGAUUUUAUAGUGCUACUAAAC
Molecule: long non-coding RNA, 1480 nt
Filed under: Ananas comosus (pineapple)
Lineage: Eukaryota; Viridiplantae; Streptophyta; Magnoliopsida; Poales; Bromeliaceae
Description: long non-coding RNA (ACOM_LNC025043)
Source: RNAcentral